AGUACAGUUAUUUCUUUCCUUGUGUGCUCAGAGCUGCUGCCUUCAUUUCAGAGAGUCAGGUUUUUUUCUUGAAAUGGAGAUGAGACAUACAAGUUAUCACUGGUCUCUGAGGCUUUGCCUUUCCCACUACUGCUAAAUUUUGAAAAAAUAAGAGUUUCAACCACUGUCAAUUAGAAUGACAAGCUCAAACUUUAUGUCAUGACUAGCCCUGAGCUAACAUCCACUGCCAAUCCUCCUCCUUUUGCUGAGGAAGGUUGGCCCUGAGCUAACAUCCGUGCCCAUCUUCCUCUACUUUAUAUGUGGGACGCCUACCACAGCAUGGCGUGCCAAGCGGUGCCAUAGGUCUACGCCCAGGAUUCGAACUGGCGAACCCCAGGCCACUGAAGUGGAACUUGAGAAUUUAACUGCUGAGCCACCAGAUUUUAUUUUUUUCCUUUUUCUCCCCAAAGCCCCCCGGUACAUAGUUGUGUAUUCUUCGUUGUGGGUCCUUCUAGUUGUGGCAUGCGGGACGCCGCCUCAGCGUGGUUUGAUGAGCAGUGCCAUGUCCGCGCCCAGGAUUCGAACCAACAAAACACUGGGCCGCCUGCAGCGGAGCGCGCGAACUUAACCACUCGGCCACGGGGCCAGCCCCAAG
Molecule: long non-coding RNA, 634 nt
Filed under: Equus caballus (horse)
Lineage: Eukaryota; Metazoa; Chordata; Mammalia; Perissodactyla; Equidae
Description: lncRNA (ENSECAG00000055954.1)
Source: RNAcentral